UACGAAGGGGGCAAGCGUUGUUCGGAAUUACUGGGCGUAAAGGGCUCGUAGGUGGCCAACUAAGUCAGACGUGAAAUCCCUCGGCUUAACCUGGGAAUGGCCUAUGUGACUGGCAGGCUAGAGGAUGGCAGAGGGAGGCGGAAUUCCACGUGUAGCAGUGAAAUGCGUAGAGAUGUGGAGGAACACCGAUGGCGAAGGCAGCCUCCUGGGCCAAUUCUGACGCUCAGGCACGAAAGCGUGGGGAUCAAACAGG
Molecule: ribosomal RNA, 253 nt
Filed under: uncultured bacterium
Lineage: Bacteria
Description: partial 16S ribosomal RNA
Rfam family: Bacterial small subunit ribosomal RNA
Source: RNAcentral